CUUAGUUGAAGGUAGACGUGGGGAACUGAAACAUCUAAGUACCCACAGGAAGAGAAAGAAAUUCGAUUCCCUCAGUAGCGGCGAGCGAACCGGGAAGAGCCCAAACUAAGAAGCUUGCUUCUUAGGGGUGUAGGACUGAACAUUUGAGUUACCAAGAAAUGAAGUAGUUGAAUAAUCUGGGAAGAUUAGCCAAAGAGAGUGAUAGCCUCGUAAGCGAAACUUCGUUUCCUCAGUUCAGGAUCCUGAGUACGGCGG
RNAcentral lists this ribosomal RNA (255 nucleotides) under Ligilactobacillus salivarius. RNAcentral's name for it is "Lactobacillus salivarius partial 23S ribosomal RNA". It matches the Rfam family "Bacterial large subunit ribosomal RNA", at positions 168 to 420 of the family's 2925-position model. The record is from RNAcentral. Lineage: Bacteria; Bacillati; Bacillota; Bacilli; Lactobacillales; Lactobacillaceae.